This 397-nucleotide long non-coding RNA is filed under the name Olea europaea (common olive). Its description in RNAcentral is "long non-coding RNA (OEUR_LNC002297)". Lineage: Eukaryota; Viridiplantae; Streptophyta; Magnoliopsida; Lamiales; Oleaceae. The record is from RNAcentral.
AAAAAAGUGACUUCCAAAUGACAGAGGGACAAACAAGUUAGAUAACGUACCUUAACUCCCAUGCCAUGCCCUUUUGCCAGAACACACUGUCUCAUUCCUGUGACUAUCUUUAUCCACUUUCCUCUUUUUUAUAAUCGAUACAGAUAAAGCCACAAGGUCUUCUGAUUUUCUUCUGAUUCAAAGAAUUUAACUCCUUGGAAAAUGAUUUCAGGUUGGUUUUACGUUUAUAAUUCAUGUUCUUUGUACUUCAUUCUUGGAGUUCUUUCAGAAGGAAACGAUGAGAAAUUACUGCAAACUCAUUUCUGUUUAAGGCUUUUAGCAUAUUUGGUAUGGGAUUAGAUAGUAUUGGACAGUAUGCAAAAAAAAAAAAAAAAAAAAAAAAGGAAAAAAAGAAGCA